Non-coding RNA from Pelobates cultripes (western spadefoot toad), 431 nucleotides. The record is from the annotation of a GenBank genome assembly. Lineage: Eukaryota; Metazoa; Chordata; Amphibia; Anura; Pelobatidae.
GGUAUGGAAUGGGUUAAUGUGAGCCUCGUUACCGGUAUGGAAUGGGUUAAUAGGGGCCUCGUUACCGGUAUGGAAUGGGUUAAUGUGAGCCUCAUUACCGGUAUGGAAUGGGUUAAUGGGAGCCUCGUUACCGGUAUGGAAUGGGUUAAUGGGAGCCUCGUUACCGGUAUGGAAUGGGUUAAUGGGAGCCUCGUUACCGGUAUGGAAUGGGUUAAUGGGAGCCUCGUUACCGGUAUGGAAUGGGUUAAUGGGAGCCUUCGUUACCGGUAUGGAAUGGGUUAAUGGGAGCCUCGUUACCGGUAUGGAAUGGGUUAAUAGGGGCCUCGUUACCGGUAUGGAAUGGGUUAAUGGGAGCCUCAUUACCGGUAUGGAAUGGGUUAAUGGGAGCCUCGUUACCGGUAUGGAAUGGGUUAAUGGGAGCCUCAUUACCG